RNAcentral lists this long non-coding RNA (717 nucleotides) under Cyanistes caeruleus (blue tit). RNAcentral describes it as "lncRNA (ENSCCEG00000014085.1)". Lineage: Eukaryota; Metazoa; Chordata; Aves; Passeriformes; Paridae. The record is from RNAcentral.
GUCCAGGAACAUCAUCUGGCAAGGGUGGCAUUCUCGCAGUGCACAGAGGAAGUCAAACAGAGGGAUGUGUUCACUUUGAAAGCAGCUAAGCUUAGAGGUGCACCUUGAAGGCUUGCUUUGACAAUCUGCUGAUAUCUGCCUUAGUCACCUGGAAUCAGCUGAGAUGAUGCCAAAAUAAGCUGGAAUGCACACGGGAGGACAUCUGUUUCUCUUGCAUUCUACAGAAAAUAUAAACACACUGUUUUCAGAAAAGAACCCAGAGACCAACGACACACAUUGUCAGAUUCUGAAUCAGCAAUAUAUCCUUGGUACUGUCAAAGUCUCCACAGAAGGAAACCAAGAAAGGAAAUGUAAAGUAACCUCCACAAGGUCACUAACAUCCAGCAAAGUAUGAACCCAGAGGCUGUGCAGCUACAGCGUGGGAGGCCCAGCACUUGUGUGAGUGCUCUGUUCAAAUAUGCCCCAACCUCCACAUCCUCAUCAGGGCCUGCAGGGACUUCAUGGCCCUGGAUGGAGAUUCCCACCCAUCCCUGCCACGAUCCCAGAAGCUGCAGCUCAGGUCAGGGUGCAUGCCCAGCCCUGCCCUAUGGCAAAUUCUCACAGUGGGCAGCCUGUUUCCAGCCUGCCUUUGGGGCCUUGCACCUCAGCACACCUCGGACUCAGUGCUGGAGGGCUCAACUCCAGGCCCAUCUCCUGCUGUUCCCAGCUGGACGCUGG